RNAcentral lists this long non-coding RNA (416 nucleotides) under Homo sapiens (human). RNAcentral's name for it is "HSALNT0291800". Lineage: Eukaryota; Metazoa; Chordata; Mammalia; Primates; Hominidae. The record is from RNAcentral.
UCCAUGUUGGUCAGGCUGGUCUCAAACUCCUGACCUUGUGAUCCGCCUGCCUCAGCCUCCCAAAGUGGGUGAAUCACCUGAGGUCAGGAGUUCGAGACCAGUCUGGCCAACAUGGAGAAACCCCGUCUCUACUGAAAACACAAAAAUUAGCUGGGCAUGGUGGCGGGCGCCUAUAAUCUCAGCUACUUGGGAGGCAGAGGCAGGAGAAUCAUUUAAACCCAGGAGGCGGAGGUUGCAGUGAGCCAAGAUUGCGCCAUUGCACUCCAGCCUGGGCGACAACAGCAAGACUCUGUCUUUUAAAAAAAAAAAAAUCAACUUACAAAAGGCAAAUUAGUAGGAGAAAUGGCGUACAAAUUUAUUAGCAUGCACAGGGGAGAAUCACAGAGUGAUUACCCAAUAUCCCAAUGGAGUAAGAU